RNAcentral lists this ribosomal RNA (496 nucleotides) under uncultured bacterium. RNAcentral describes it as "partial 16S ribosomal RNA". It matches the Rfam family "Bacterial small subunit ribosomal RNA", at positions 29 to 507 of the family's 1533-position model. The record is from RNAcentral.
AUGAACGCUGGCGGCGUGCCUAAUACAUGCAAGUCGAGCGAACAGAUGAGGAGCUUGCUCCUCUGACGUUAGCGGCGGACGGGUGAGUAACACGUGUAUAACCUACCUAUAAGACUGGGAUAACUUCGGGAAACCGGAGCUAAUACCGGAUAAUAUAUUGAACCGCAUGGUUCAAUAGUGAAAGACGGUUUUGCUGUCACUUAUAGAUGGAUCCGCGCCGCAUUAGCUAGUUGGUAAGGUAACGGCUUACCAAGGCAACGAUGCGUAGCCGACCUGAGAGGGUGAUCGGCCACACUGGAACUGAGACACGGUCCAGACUCCUACGGGAGGCAGCAGUAGGGAAUCUUCCGCAAUGGGCGAAAGCCUGACGGAGCAACGCCGCGUGAGUGAUGAAGGUCUUCGGAUCGUAAAACUCUGUUAUUAGGGAAGAACAAAUGUGUAAGUAACUAUGCACGUCUUGACGGUACCUAAUCAGAAAGCCACGGCUAACUACGUG